Molecule: non-coding RNA, 817 nt
Organism: Paramisgurnus dabryanus
Lineage: Eukaryota; Metazoa; Chordata; Actinopteri; Cypriniformes; Cobitidae
Source: RefSeq, a predicted model, not a curated record
GGGAAAAAACGGCACUGCCGCACAUAAUGGAUGGCAACAUGGGUGCAUUUAUAGUCCAUCAUGACAUAAAAAAUCCUCUGCAUGCAACCACGAGGAGAGGGGUAUUUUACUAAGGAGUUUUGUCUAUAUAUUAUAUAAAAUCUACUGUUGGGAAGAGCAGAACCUAAUCCAAAUAAAAAUAAAAAAGCUGUUAAAAGCCAGUUGAAGGUGGUCAACACAAACCAAAUGAAGAUGUUGCACAAUUCCACAAACAAUAAAAAAGAAGAUCAAGUUUUGUGUCCAACACACUUGGAUGAGACGUGCCCGACCCCUGACUUUGUCUACCCUACAUUAAGUUGUGAUGGCACACUUCAUGACAGUAAACAUCGGUAUCAAGAUGGUGUGAUUGAUCUAUACCCUAGAAUAAGCUGUGACACUAUGAGACGGUGACAUAAUGAACAGCCAUCUUCAAGACAACCGAAACAGGCAGAGUAUUGUUUUCUUGUGUAUUGUCAUACACCCAAAGAGGAUUUUUUUGUAAUUGUACAGUUGUGGUGUUAUUCAUUCAUUAAUGUGUCCUUUCUUACCUUAAAUAACUUGUCAUUUUUCACUCCUUUUGUUUUUAAUGUCUAUAUAGUAUUGUCUACAAUCCCAAAUUCUGGAUUGACGAUCCAGUACCAGAAGGCACUCCAAUCCCAGAGAGCAUCCCAUUGUGAGGUAACACAACGAAAAAAUAACAGGAUGGAGACUAACUGAUUCUUCACCUAUGGCCUUAGCUUCAAAUGCAAGAAGUCCAGCAACUGUCUGAGCUGGUGGAUAUUCUAUCAGAGACUGCAUG